RNAcentral lists this transfer RNA (73 nucleotides) under Felis catus (domestic cat). It matches the Rfam family "tRNA". Rfam says of the family: Transfer RNA (tRNA) molecules are approximately 80 nucleotides in length. The record is from Rfam by way of RNAcentral. Lineage: Eukaryota; Metazoa; Chordata; Mammalia; Carnivora; Felidae.
GCCUGGCUGGCUCAGUUGGUAGAGCACUCAACUCUUGAUUUCAGGGUUGUGAGUUCAAGCCCCAUGUUAGACA